UCCGUAGGGUGAACCUGCGGAGGGAUCAUUACACAAUAAAAUACGAAGGCCGUUCGCGGCUGGACUAUUUAUUACCCUUGUCUUUUGCGCACUUGUUGUUUCCUGGGCGGGUUCGCUCGCCACCAGGACCACAAUAUAAACCUUUUUUAUGCAGUUGCAAUCAGCGUCAGUAUAACAAAUGUAAAUCAUUUACAACUUUCAACAACGGAUCUCUUGGUUCUGGCAUCGAUGAAGAACGCAGCGAAAUGCGAUACGUAGUGUGAAUUGCAGAAUUCAGUGAAUCAUCGAAUCUUUGAACGCACAUUGCGCCCUUUGGUAUUCCAAAGGGCAUGCCUGUUCGAGCGUCAUUUGUACCCUCAAGCUUUGCUUGGUGUUGGGCGUUUUUGUCUUUGGCCCGCCAAAGACUCGCCUUAAAAUGAUUGGCAGCCGGCCUACUGGUUUCGCAGCGCAGCACAUUUUUGCGCUUGCAAUCAGCAAAAGAGGACGGCAAUCCAUCAAGACUCCUUCUCACGUUUGACCUCGGAUCAGGUAGGGAUACCCGCUGAACUUAAGCAUAUCAAUAAGCGGAGGAA
RNAcentral lists this ribosomal RNA (572 nucleotides) under Curvularia spicifera. Its description in RNAcentral is "eukaryotic LSU rRNA". The stretch from base 194 to 347 matches the Rfam family "5.8S ribosomal RNA". Lineage: Eukaryota; Fungi; Ascomycota; Dothideomycetes; Pleosporales; Pleosporaceae. The record is from RNAcentral.